UACGUAGGUGGCGAGCGUUAUCCGGAAUUAUUGGGCGUAAAGAGCGCGCAGGUGGUUGAUUAAGUCUGAUGUGAAAGCCCACGGCUUAACCGUGGAGGGUCAUUGGAAACUGGUCGACUUGAGUGCAGAAGAGGGAAGUGGAAUUCCAUGUGUAGCGGUGAAAUGCGUAGAGAUAUGGAGGAACACCAGUGGCGAAGGCGGCUUCCUGGUCUGUAACUGACACUGAGGCGCGAAAGCGUGGGGAGCAAACGGGAUUAGAUACCCGGGUAGU
Molecule: ribosomal RNA, 271 nt
Filed under: uncultured prokaryote
Description: partial 16S ribosomal RNA
Rfam family: Bacterial small subunit ribosomal RNA
Source: RNAcentral